RNAcentral lists this long non-coding RNA (329 nucleotides) under Anser brachyrhynchus (Pink-footed goose). RNAcentral's name for it is "lncRNA (ENSABRG00000018843.1)". The record is from RNAcentral. Lineage: Eukaryota; Metazoa; Chordata; Aves; Anseriformes; Anatidae.
CUAAUUUACCUGCAGGUGUAACAGGCAGAGUAAAAUUUACUUGUGCUUGCUGUUCUGUGUUUUUGUGCAGGCAGCACUGUCCUUGUGCUUUGGCCUAUUUCACCUUUACCUGUCUCCAUUCUGGGCACAACAGUGGUCUGUGGAAUACACAGGAGGAGUAUUACAGGCCAUGAUUUGUCGUUGCGGCCUGUAUCGAAGUUCUGCUGCUGAAACACAUAUACAAAGAGUUUCUUCAUGCACUUCAUGUGCACUUGUCCUGGGAGAUUGUGUGAGUACUGUGUACUUCAAUUUCAUUUGCUGUUUUGGUUUCUCUAGCAACUAGAAGUUGC